CGACUUUGAUCCUGGCUCAGGACGAACGCUGGCGGCGUGCUUAACACAUGCAAGUCGAACGAGAGGAGAAGGAAGCUUGCUUCUUUCAAAUCUAGUGGCAAACGGGUGAGUAACACGUAAACAACCUGCCUUCAGGAUGGGGACAACAGACGGAAACGACUGCUAAUACCGAAUACGUUCCUUAGGUCGCAUGACUUUAGGAAGAAAGGGUGCCUCUACUUGUAAGCUAUCGCCUGAAGAGGGGUUUGCGUCUGAUUAGGUAGUUGGUGAGGUAACGGCCCACCAAGCCGACGAUCAGUAGCCGGUCUGAGAGGAUGAACGGCCACACUGGAACUGAGACACGGUCCAGACUCCUACGGGAGGCAGCAGUGGGGAAUCUUCCGCAAUGGGCGAAAGCCUGACGGAGCAACGCCGCGUGAGUGAUGACGGCCUUCGGGUUGUAAAGCUCUGUGAUCGGGGACGAACGGUCAGCAGACGAAUACUCUGCUGAAGUGACGGUACCCGAAUAGCAAGCCACGGCUAACUACGUGCCAGCAGCCGCGGUAAUACGUAGGUGGCAAGCGUUGUCCGGAAUUAUUGGGCGUAAAGCGCGCGCAGGCGGCUUCUUAAGUCCAUCUUAAAAGUGCGGGGCUUAACCCCGUGAUGGGAUGGAAACUGAGAGGCUGGAGUAUCGGAGAGGAAAGUGGAAUUCCUAGUGUAGCGGUGAAAUGCGUAGAGAUUAGGAAGAACACCGGUGGCGA
This 740-nucleotide ribosomal RNA is filed under the name uncultured Bacillota bacterium. RNAcentral's name for it is "bacterial SSU rRNA". It matches the Rfam family "Bacterial small subunit ribosomal RNA", at positions 9 to 718 of the family's 1533-position model. Lineage: Bacteria; Bacillati; Bacillota. The record is from RNAcentral.